This 253-nucleotide ribosomal RNA is filed under the name uncultured bacterium. RNAcentral describes it as "partial 16S ribosomal RNA". It matches the Rfam family "Bacterial small subunit ribosomal RNA", at positions 524 to 776 of the family's 1533-position model. The record is from RNAcentral.
UACAGAGGUCUCAAGCGUUGUUCGGAUUCAUUGGGCGUAAAGGGUGCGUAGGUGGCGCUGUAAGUCGGGUGUGAAAUUUCGGAGCUUAACUCCGAAACUGCAUUCGAUACUGCGGUGCUUGAGGACUGGAGAGGAGACUGGAAUUUACGGUGUAGCAGUGAAAUGCGUAGAGAUCGUAAGGAAGACCAGUGGCGAAGGCGGGUCUCUGGACAGUUCCUGACACUGAGGCACGAAGGCCAGGGGAGCAAACGGG